AUGGCUCUGAGGUUUGGUUUAAUUCUUGCACAAAAGGCGGGAUGCAAUCGUCUUAUUAUUAACUCUGAUAAUAUGGAAGUCAUUGACACAAUGAAAAAUGGAGGACAAUCGGCGGGAGUUGCGGCGGCAGUAUUCGAGGAUUACUACUUCAUGGCAUGUGAUUUUCCAUUAACUAGAUUUGAACAUUGUAAUAGGACAACUAAUAAGGUUGCUCAUGAACUUGCUAGGCUAGCGAAAGUUUCUGUAACUAGAGAUUGGUUUGAGGAGCCUAUGGAGAAUAUUGUACCUCUUCUUAUAGACGAUGUAACCAUUAUUUCCAAUCAAUAA
RNAcentral lists this ribosomal RNA (327 nucleotides) under Triticum aestivum (bread wheat). Its description in RNAcentral is "partial small subunit ribosomal RNA". The record is from RNAcentral. Lineage: Eukaryota; Viridiplantae; Streptophyta; Magnoliopsida; Poales; Poaceae.